AUUGAACGCUGGCGGAAUGCUUACACAUGCAAGUCGAACGGCAGCACGGGGCAACCUGGUGGCGAGUGGCGAACGGGUGAGUAAUACAUCGGAACGUGCCCAAUCGUGGGGGAUAACGUAGCGAAAGUUACGCUAAUACCGCAUACGAUCUACGGAUGAAAGCGGGGGAUCGCAAGACCUCGCGCGAGUGGAGCGGCCGAUGUCAGAUUAGGUAGUUGGUGGGGUAAAGGCUCACCAAGCCAACGAUCUGUAGCUGGUCUGAGAGGACGACCAGCCACACUGGAACUGAGACACGGUCCAGACUCCUACGGGAGGCAGCAGUGGGGAAUUUUGGACAAUGGGCGCAAGCCUGAUCCAGCCAUUCCGCGUGCAGGAUGAAGGCCUUCGGGUUGUAAACUGCUUUUGUACGGAACGAAACGGCGAGCUCUAAUACAGUUUGCUAAUGACGGUACCGUAAGAAUAAGCACCGGCUAACUACGUG
This 481-nucleotide ribosomal RNA is filed under the name uncultured bacterium. RNAcentral's name for it is "bacterial SSU rRNA". It matches the Rfam family "Bacterial small subunit ribosomal RNA", at positions 30 to 507 of the family's 1533-position model. The record is from RNAcentral.